GUUGGUGCAAAAGUAAUUGCGGUUUUUGCCAUUGAAAAUGAUGGCUAAAACUGCAUUUACUU
RNAcentral lists this microRNA precursor (62 nucleotides) under Saimiri boliviensis boliviensis (Bolivian squirrel monkey). RNAcentral describes it as "miRNA (ENSSBOG00000011280.1)". Lineage: Eukaryota; Metazoa; Chordata; Mammalia; Primates; Cebidae. The record is from RNAcentral.